GGGACAUCAAACCAGAGAACAUCCUGGUUGACCUGGCCACCGGGCAGGCAAAGCUCAUCGACUUUGGCUGUGGCACCUACCUGCAAGACACAGCCUACACUCACUUUGCAGGAACACCAUCAUACAGCCCCCCGGAAUGGACCCGCUUUGGCUGGUACCAUGGCGAGCCAGCUACCAUCUGGUCCCUGGGCAUCCUGCUGCACCAGAUGGUCUGUGGGAAGAUGCCUUUCAGGAGGGGCUGGAACUUCAGCUGGGGCCAGCUCUCACUGCCACAACGGCUCUCUCCAGAGUGCCAAAAUCUGAUCGGGUGGUGUUUAUCCAUGCACUUCUUGGACAGACCCUCAUUAGAAGAGGUGUUCUGUCAUCCUUGGAUGCAGGAUAUUCAUCUGCCAUAGAAGAAGGGAGAGAGCCACAGUCACACUGUGCUGCAGGGCCCUGGGAAGGAGAAGGAGCCCCCAGAGAAGCUGUACCAGAUGGGGCUGCUGCUGCUGGGGACAGUGAGGAUGACAUCAAGGAUGACAACCUCUUCCUCAACCUGGCCACCAGCAGUUGAAGAGGAAGCAUUCUAGGUGGACUCCAGUCUGGAUUGGGAAGUGCUUGGGACCAGCUGUGGCAUGGAUGGGCCGUGCCCUUGGAGCAGGCUGAGGACAUCGUUUGGGA
This is a long non-coding RNA of Passer domesticus (house sparrow), 660 nucleotides long. RefSeq lists it as uncharacterized. The transcript is spliced from 5 exons. NCBI's taxonomy places the organism in Eukaryota, Metazoa, Chordata, Aves, Passeriformes, Passeridae. The record is from RefSeq and is a predicted model, not a curated record.